AAAACCCAAGAAAAGCCCUCGUAGCGAAGAAGCAGGAAAACACGAAGAAGAAAGAGUUAAAUCACUCUCCGAAAUCGAAUCAUGUACGGUGGUGAUGAAGUGUCAGCAAUUGUGAUAGAUUUGGGUAGCCAUACUUGCAAAGCUGGUUACGCUGGGGAAGAUGCUCCCAAAGCCGUUUUCCCAUCUGCUGUUGGAUCGGUUGAUGAAAUGGAAGUUGAUAAUCCUGAUAAUCCAGAGGAUAAUUCUGGAUCUGCUCCUGACCUUAAAUCAAAGGGUAAGCGGAAAUUGUAUGUUGGAUCUCAAGCCUUGGGAUUUCGCCGUGAUCACAUGGAGGUGAUAUCACCCAUCAGGGAUGGGAUGGUUGUGGACUGGGAUAUUGUAGAAAACAUAUGGGACCAUGCUUUUAGGGAAUGCUUACUGAUCGAUCCAAAGGAGCAUCCAAUGUUACUUGCAGAGCCUUGUUCAAACACUCAGCAGCAGAGGGAAAAGGCUGCAGAGAUAAUGUUUGAAAAAUACCAAGUUCCAGCAUUGUUUUUGGCCAAAAAUGCUGUUCUCACAUCUUUCGCAUCAGGACGUGCAACUUCUUUGGUUGUUGACAGUGGUGGAGGAUUGACUACUGUUGCUCCGGUUCAUGAUGGAUACAUUCUUCAAAAGGCGGUUUGUACAUCUCCUAUUGGGGGUGGAAUUCUUACCGAUUGCUUGAUAAAAAGUUUGGAACAGAAAGGCAUUACGAUAAAACCUAGGUAUUCAUUCAAGCGGAAGGAGAUCCGUCCAGGAGAAUUUCAGACAGUGGACCUUGAUUUCCCUGAUACAACCGAGAGUUACAAGCUAUAUUGUCAGAGAGCGAUUGCAAGUGACAUAAAAGAAUGCGUCUCCCGAGCCCCAGAUACUCCAUAUGAUGACAGUUCAUAUUCGAACAUUCCAACGACAUCUUAUGAGCUACCUGAUGGGCAGAUAAUAGAAGUCGGAGCAGAUAGAUUCAAGAUUCCUGAUAUUAUAUUCAAUCCAUCAUUGGUUCAGACUAUUCCCGGUAUGGAAAGUUUUGCUGAAACUGCCGCUUCCCUUCGUGGUCUUCCACAAAUGGUUAUAGAUAGCAUAAACAAGUGUGAUGUGGAUAUUCGAAGAGAACUUUUUAGCAGUAUAUUGCUUGCUGGGGGAACAGCAUCGAUGCAACAACUCAAAGAACGUCUGGAGAAGGACUUGCUAGAGGAGUCUCCUCAGGCAGCGAGAGUCAAAGUCCUGGCUAGUGGAAAUGCUACAGAAAGGAGAUUCAGUGUUUGGAUAGGGGGCAGCAUUCUGGCAUCUCUUGGCUCCUUUCAACAAAUGUGGUUUUCAAAGUCCGAGUACGAAGAGCAUGGGGCAUCUUACGUUCAAAGAAAAUGCCCUUAAGAAAGACGAUUUUGCUGUUAUAUUCUACGGGUAGCGCUCUAUUUAUGGGACUAGCGUCAAACAAUGACUGUUAUCCCAAACUUACCAGCUUAGUUCAUGUCUUGUAUUAUUAGGAAUCUGUAUCAGUGGAUUGUUAUUAUUCUGCAAUGCACUAUGUACAUCCAUAUCGAACUAGAAUUGAUGCGACUUGCUAUUUUAGCUUUUUAGCGAAAAUGCUAGAUUAAACACCCUUGACCCUGUCAUUGUAAGUAAUAUGUGCUAAUUGAUUGAUAAGUACCUCUUUUGACAAUUAAGUGGACAAA
RNAcentral lists this unclassified non-coding RNA (1691 nucleotides) under Hevea brasiliensis (rubber tree). Lineage: Eukaryota; Viridiplantae; Streptophyta; Magnoliopsida; Malpighiales; Euphorbiaceae. The record is from RNAcentral.